GAUGAACGCUAGCGCAGGUCUUAAUACAUGCAAGUCAAGGGGUAGCAAUACAACCGGCGCACGGUGAGUAACGCGUACACAACAUACCAUAUACGUGGGGUAUAGCUUUGGGAAAACUGAAGGUAAUCCCCCAUAACAUUGCGAGAGGGCAUCUGAUUGCAAUUAAAGUUUCGGCGGUAUAUGAUUGGUGUGCGUUUGAUUAGCUAGUUGGUAGGGUAACGGCCUACCAAGGCGACGAUCAAUAGCUGGCGUGAGAGCGCGACCAGCCACACUGGAACUGAGACACGGUCCAGACUCCUACGGGAGGCAGCAGUAGGGAAUAUUGGACAAUGGGCGCAAGCCUGAUCCAGCCAUGCCGCGUGAUAGAUGAAGGCCCUCUGGGUUGUAAAUAUCUUUUAUCUGGGAAGAAACUCCUCUAUUCUUAGAGGCCUGACGGUACCAGAGGAAUAAGCACCGGCUAACUCCGUG
This 468-nucleotide ribosomal RNA is filed under the name uncultured bacterium. RNAcentral describes it as "bacterial SSU rRNA". It matches the Rfam family "Bacterial small subunit ribosomal RNA", at positions 28 to 507 of the family's 1533-position model. The record is from RNAcentral.